Molecule: ribosomal RNA, 372 nt
Filed under: uncultured Actinomycetes bacterium
Lineage: Bacteria; Bacillati; Actinomycetota; Actinomycetes
Description: bacterial SSU rRNA
Rfam family: Bacterial small subunit ribosomal RNA
Source: RNAcentral
GUAGGGUGCGAGCGUUGUCCGGAAUUAUUGGGCGUAAAGGGCUCGUAGGCGGUUUGUCGCGUCGGGAGUGAAAACACUGGGCUUAACUCAGUGCUGGCUUUCGAUACGGGCAGACUAGAGGUAUGCAGGGGAGAACGGAAUUCCUGGUGUAGCGGUGAAAUGCGCAGAUAUCAGGAGGAACACCGGUGGCGAAGGCGGUUCUCUGGGCAUUACCUGACGCUGAGGAGCGAAAGUGUGGGGAGCGAACAGGAUUAGAUACCCUGGUAGUCCACACCGUAAACGUUGGGCGCUAGGUGUGGGGCCUAUUCCAUGGGUUCCGUGCCGCAGCUAACGCAUUAAGCGCCCCGCCUGGGGAGUACGGCCGCAAGGCUA